RNAcentral lists this ribosomal RNA (440 nucleotides) under uncultured bacterium. RNAcentral's name for it is "partial 16S ribosomal RNA". It matches the Rfam family "Bacterial small subunit ribosomal RNA", at positions 338 to 795 of the family's 1533-position model. The record is from RNAcentral.
CCUACGGGCGGCAGCAGUGGGGGAUAUUGCACAAUGGGGGAAACCCUGAUGCAGCGACGCCGCGUGAGUGAAGAAGGUCCUCGGCGCGUAAAGCCCUGUCAGCAGGGGAGAAAAUGACGGUACCUGAGGACGAAGCGCCGGCUAACUACGUGCCAGCAGCCGCGGUAAUACGUAGGGGGGAAGCGUUAUCCGGAUUGACUGGGUUUAAAGGGGGCGCAGACGGCGGUGCAAGUCAGUAGUGAAGGCCCGGGGCCCAACCCAGGGACUGCUCUUGGCACUGCGUGGCUUGAGUGCAGGAGGGGUAGGCGGAAUUCCUGGUGUAGCGGUGAAAUGCGUAGAUAUCAGGAGGAACACCGGUGGCGAAGGCGGCCUGCUGGACUGCAACUGACGUUGAGGCCCGAAAGCGUGGGGAGCAAACAGGAUUAGAUACCCCUGUAGUC